CCGCACUAUUUUGUGUUUGGGAGGUUACAGCUCUGCCUCUAGAUUCCCCAGCUCAGACUUUUGACAUUGCAAGCAGCUAACAAUACUCACAUAUCAUGCUUUAUAAUAGCACUUGUAGGUGCCAUCCUACUGUCCUGUGUGGAACAUUGGAAUUAGUGGCUAGAGUAUCUUAAAAGAGUUCCAUUAGCAAACAAAGUGAGUGUAUAAGUCAGAGUAAUGUCUUGAAACCCCAGUUUACUCUCCAUAUCAUUUACAUAUGACAGGAGAGCAAUGCAGCAACCACCUUAAGAUUACAAAACAAAGGACAAACACAGCACCCUAAUGAAUUGUGUAAUGCCAAAUGCCAGUAUUUCUUAAGAUUUAAGCCUCACUCAAUUUCUUCACAUGUAAUAGAGUGAAGAUUAGUUUGAGGCAAUCAUUGCACAAGCCUAGACAACAUGAUUGGGGUAUAGUUUUGCCAAAGUCCUUCCCUAUUUAUUACAAAAGGUCUUCAUUUGUAUAACAUCUACCUCAAUUUGAAACAAAUUUUUAUGCAUGGAAAGACAGGCCUAAGCACUGUGCCAAAUUGUCAUAAUGAGGAAAACAUGUAUGUGGCUGAGGCCAUAGGAAGAUUAUUAUGUCAUGACAAUAGAGCUCUCAUGGAUGGAAUGAGUGUUCUUAUAAGAAAAGGCCAGCUUGCUCUCCUUCUGCUGCAUGAGGAUAUAAGAAAUCAACAAUGUGAAACAUGGAAGAGAGGCUCACAAGAACCCAACUACGUUGGCACCCUGAUCUCAGCCUUCAGCUAA
RNAcentral lists this long non-coding RNA (785 nucleotides) under Callithrix jacchus (white-tufted-ear marmoset). RNAcentral describes it as "lncRNA (ENSCJAG00000081264.1)". The record is from RNAcentral. Lineage: Eukaryota; Metazoa; Chordata; Mammalia; Primates; Cebidae.